AUAUAUACUUACUAGAUUUUAAUC
Molecule: small nuclear RNA, 24 nt
Filed under: Arabidopsis thaliana (thale cress)
Lineage: Eukaryota; Viridiplantae; Streptophyta; Magnoliopsida; Brassicales; Brassicaceae
Description: snRNA_12928
Source: RNAcentral